This 1582-nucleotide unclassified non-coding RNA is filed under the name uncultured fungus. RNAcentral's name for it is "sequence contains 18S rRNA gene, ITS1, 5.8S rRNA gene, ITS2, 28S rRNA gene". The stretch from base 606 to 1582 matches the Rfam family "Eukaryotic large subunit ribosomal RNA", at positions 1 to 961 of the family's 3401-position model. Lineage: Eukaryota; Fungi. The record is from RNAcentral.
GGAAGGAUCAUUAUUGAAUAAAACUGGUUGGGUUGUUGCUGACUCUUAGGAGUAUGUGCACACCUGGCUUCAUUUUAUUACCACCUGUGCACUCUUUGUAGACCUUGAACAUUUCUCGGGAUUAAAAACUCGGAUUGAGGACAUGCCUUUUGGGCUGUUCCUUGUGUUCUUGGUCUAUGUUUAUUAUUAUACUCUUUAAAUGUAACGGAAUGUUAAUUAUGGCCUCUGUGCCUUUAAUUAUAAUACAACUUUCAACAACGGAUCUCUUGGCUCUCGCAUCGAUGAAGAACGCAGCGAAAUGCGAUAAGUAAUGUGAAUUGCAGAAUUCAGUGAAUCAUCGAAUCUUUGAACGCACCUUGCGCUCUUUGGUAUUCCGAAGAGCAUGCCUGUUUGAGUGUCAGUAAAUUUAUCAACCUUUCUAACUUGUUUAGUAAGGAUUGGAAUAUGGGGGUGUUGCAGGCUUGUAAUAAAGUCGGCUCCCCUUAAAAGUAUUAGUGAGGCCUAUGUUGCCCAUCACUGGUGUGAUAAUUAUCUACGCCAUUGAAGGUCUUCAAUUUUAAAAGGACUUGCUUAUAACUGUCUCAUUAGAGACAAUCUGACAAAUUUGACCUCAAAUCAGGUAGGACUACCCGCUGAACUUAAGCAUAUCAAUAAGCGGAGGAAAAGAAACUAACAAGGAUUCCCUUAGUAACUGCGAGUGAAGUGGGAAAAGCUCAAAUUUAAAAUCUGGUAGUCUUUGGCUGCCCGAGUUGUAAUCUAGAGAAGCAUUAUCCGCGCCGGACCGUGUAUAAGUUUUCCUGGAAUGGAGCGUCAUAGAGGGUGAGAAUCCCGUCUUUGACACGGACUACCGGGGCUUUGUGAUGUGCUCUCAAAGAGUCGAGUUGUUUGGGAAUGCAGCUCUAAAUGGGUGGUAAAUUCCAUCUAAAGCUAAAUAUUGGCGAGAGACCGAUAGCGAACAAGUACCGUGAGGGAAAGAUGAAAAGAACUUUGGAAAGAGAGUUAAACAGUACGUGAAAUUGUUGAAAGGGAAACGCUUGAAGUCAGUCGCGUCUGCUGGGGAUCAACCUUGCAAUUUUGCUAGGCGUACUUCCCAGUUGACGGGUCAGCAUCAAUUUUGAUCAGUGGAAAAAAUUCAAGGGAAUGUGGCACCUUCGGGUGUGUUAUAGCCUUUGUUUGUAUACACUGAUUGGGAUUGAGGAACUCAGCACGCCGCAAGGCCGGGUCUUUGACUACGUUCGUGCUUAGGAUGCUGGCAUAAUGGCUUUAAUCGACCCGUCUUGAAACACGGACCAAGGAGUCUAACAUGCCCGCGAGUGUUUGGGUGGUAAACCCAGACGCGUAAUGAAAGUGAAGGUUGAGAUCCCUGUCGUGGGGAGCAUCGACGCCCGGACCAGAACUUUUGUGACGGAUCCGCGGUAGAGCGUGUAUGUUGGGACCCGAAAGAUGGUGAACUAUGCCUGAAUAGGGUGAAGCCAGAGGAAACUCUGGUGGAGGCUCGUAGCGAUUCUGACGUGCAAAUCGAUCGUCAAAUUUGGGUAUAGGGGCGAAAGACUAAUCGAACCAUCUAGUAGCUGGUUCCUGC